GGAAAGCAUGAGUCGGGUGAAUAGAAUAACAUGUGUGGACUGCAAGUUUUAUCAAGAUUUGAGUUAUUCUAGCAAAGCAGGAGUUGUUAGCCUAAUAAAGGAAUAGGGAGAACACUCAGCUAAGCUAUUGAACGCAAGGAGCAAGGAAAAAAUUGGUUAUAAAACCCAAACCCCAAGUUUCUAUAUUUGGUUUUUCUUCAUUUCAGUGUAAGUGAUCCAUAGAAGUCUAUCAAUUCUCAUGAACUGGGCUAGCACUAUUAUUAGAAAAGGGUUUAAGUGAAGACUAAAAAUUGGAAUUUGAGAAAACUUUUGGCAAGGCAAUAGCAAGACAAGUAUUCGAAUCAAUCUGAGCAAGAAGGUUUAGCAACCAAGAGGUAUUUCUUGAUCACUACUAUGCUUUGUUUAUGCUUCUGUAAUUGAUAUAAAAGAAGAAACUGAAAUUGGUCUAUUUGUGAAUUGGUUGAGAGAUAAUUGAUUAUGUAUAAGAAGAGAUUUCUAUUUUAAAUUUGGGUUUAGUUUUGUAUAAAAGGUAAUGAGACCUGAAUAUUUAAAACUAUGUCUCUUAACUGCUCAAAAAAUUGUCUAAGAGAAGUUGAUUAAUAAAAGGAAUAUUUUGAUGUAUGGUUUGACAGUAAAGGUAGUCUCAGGUCAUAACAGAUUUGUUUUAAGAUGUCUAAAAUCUAUAUAAGAGAAUUGGUGAAGAGAAUUCUGGGAUUCUGCAGAAGUAGAGCAUGAUCUGAAGUGGUGCGGCCACGCCACUUCUAAGGCCAAAGAUCAACGCGGCAGCACCAGUCUGCAGUCUUUCCAAGAAAUUUUCUUUUAAGUGUGGAGCCUUUGAGCAAAUGUGAUAGAGUAUAUGUUUAAUAAUGUACCUGAGAUCAUGAUCAAGAUAGUUGUCCAUGUUUUGACUUGGUAAAAGAAGGACAAAAUGAGUUUUUUUCAAUGAAAACUAAAAGAAGAUUUGAAAGACAAUCUUAAAGAACUUAGCUUGGUUUAAGGAUUUGAAGGUCUUGUUUAUGGAUAGAUGUAUCUGCUAUAAGGCUCAGGAUAGCUGUGAAUUAUAUAAAUUAUCUUAGCUUGUAUAAUAUUAAGUUUUCAAAGAAAAACUAAAUGUUUUGAUAAAAAAAAACAAAGUUUGGUAGAUCUAAGAUGGGUUGAAAGACACCAAAGUUCUGUUUUGUGUAUUGUGUUGGUUAUCAAAGGACUUGAGAUUGGUAAGGGUUGGAUAGAGUUAGAAAUAGCAGUCCUGAGUUUUAACAGGAGUAGCGCGGCCGCGCCACUCCUAAGUCAAAUGGCAGUGCGACCACGCCGUGCUGCAGAACAACCAAGAUAUUUAAUUUCUAAUCUGAACCUUGGAGACAUGGACGCAUGAGUCUUCUAGUAUGUAAUACAUGAAAUACAAGGUGUGUAGCAUGUCCAAACAUGGAAUCGGGCAAAGGUUGAACAAGAAAGUUAUAAAUUAAACCAAUAAGCAAGAUAGAAACAAGACAAGCUAAGCUAAUAUAUUAAGCUAAAACAUAAACUAACUUUCAUGAACUGUAUAACAUAUAUGUACAUAUGAAUUAACCUCUUGGUAUAUGAUACGUGAAAUGCAGAUAGUUUUACGUUAUAAUUUUUGCCUGGCAAGUCUUCCAGCUCCUAUGUGUUAUAUGAUAUUGAUAUUGAUUGUUGGUAAAUUGUAUUGCAGUAAGUAUGCUAAAUAACAUAAGAUGUGUAAAUAAAUUGCAAAAGUCAAUCUAUGAAUAAAUUGAUUGAGUUAAGGAAUUCAUUCUUUAUAUUUGAUAUGUUAAAUGCAGCAUGUAGAUAUGUAUAUUAGAAUGUUUAUGAUGUAUGAACUGAGCAUGAUUGUGACACCCCCAAAUCUAGGUACUUCAUUCCCACAAGAUUUGGUGCUCACUAUCCAUACAUUCAUACUAUCUACCCAAAUAAAACAAUAUUUAAACCAUAAAUCCUCCCUUUAAAUAGGGUUACAUUAUUAAAUCUAAAAACAACCCAGGUUGUCUAACCUUUAAACAUCAUAUAAAUGCGGAAAUAAAAUUAUUACAUCACAUCAUUAUUUAAAAGUCUAUGAUCAUAACAAUAAAUGAAAUUACAAGUCUACAUCACUUGUACAUUUUUUCCUUUCCUUUGCUAGUUGAAGGCUCAUCUACCUUCUCAACUUUAGCUGCAAUAAUAAUAUUUAUGCAAGAGUGAGCAAAACAAUUGCUCACUGGAUAUAACAAUGAAUUAACAGGAGAAUAAUAAUAAUAACUGCCAAUGAAUAGGCUCAUCAAAACUGAAUAGUACUCUAUUAUUGAUAACCAAAAACUGGAAUCCAAAAUAUGGAGUAUAAAUAUCUGAGGGUCAUAAGACCACAAACUAUAUAUGUCCACAGUUGCGAGUAAUCUUUCAACUCCAACUUUAACAGUCAUAAGACUAUAGGGACUCCUCAUACUUAGGGGGAUCAGCCCUUCGUACAAUGUAUUGUGCACAAACAUUUCAACGCUAAGCGUAAAUUAUCCCCUAAUAAUAAGGUUGUUCAUCUCAGUAUUUAGAGUACAAGUCCGCACAAAAGUAAGUUUGGUUUGGAUACAUUUCAAGGGUAAUUUAGAAUUCAACGGUCAUCAACUAAGGAUUAGUUGAAUACAAUAUUGUUAACGUCAUGUUAUGGAAUAAUCAUAACUAAAUCGACAUCGAAAAUUAAGAUCAUGCUUUAGGAAUAAACUAACAGCAUAAACAUCGAAUAAUCAUAACGUACCUUGCUUGAACAAUAUUAAGCCAAGGUUAUUUAGUAUUGAGUACUAAGCAUGCAUAACAAAUAGUACUUUAAACAAUAAAACUUGUUCAACAUGAGUAUAUUGGAAUAUGUAAACUUGUAUGCUAGAUAACAAGUUAAAGACAAGAAUAACUUGUUCAAUUGCAGAAUAAGAUCUAGAUUUAGAAAUCAUAAACAAACUAGAUACAAGAACUUGCUCAAUAGUAAGAAUAAGCUUGCACAACGUAAUAAAUGAACUAUCUCAACGAAAUUGUACAGUUAGGAAAACUUGCUCAAUGUAAAAAGAGAAGUUUAGAAACCUGCUCAAUGUAAAUGUAGAGUUAGAAAACUUACCUCGUGCGUAAGCUAUAAUAUUAAACUCACGUUCACCUACACAUAGGUUUAGAACCACAAUUCCUAUUAGAUAUGCUAACAUACCAUAACAUGUACAUUUCUAACCAAACUUAUCAUUUUAGCACAAGUCUUAUGCUACCAUAUAUAUAUUCCAGAAUUCCUAAGUGUUCACAUCACAACAUUUAUCUAACAUUCAUUGUAUAAACUAAGUUAUAACAUAACACGUUCAUAACUUAUAAUCAUUUAAAACUUUGAAACUACUAACCACCUAACACGAUUCUGUUUUAACCAUGGUAUUACAUGUUUGACACCCUAACACAACCUUAGACCAAGCUAUAGGGGUGUUUCAAGGUCUGCAGUAGCAGCAGAACUAGCUGUCUCAGGACAGGGUAUGGCGCAGCUGCGCCAUACACAAGCCUGGGACUAGAGCAGCUGCGCCGGUGCACAGACAGAGGCAGAGACGUCUAUGAACAGUAGCCGACUUUAGCCCAACAAACACGAAUUUCACCCACUAAACAGUAAUAUUAACACGCACAAUUGAUACAAAAUCAUUAUAAACAUAUUUCUUCACAUAUAUAUCAAUAUAGAACAAUUUAACAACAAUUAUACUAGUUUAAUUUCUCAAAUUUCUCAUUUUCAUAUAAAAACUCAAUUUUUAACAUCCUCUUCAAAAAUCAACAAUGUAAUCUCUAUACUUGGCCAAAUUGCUUCGUUCAAAUUAUGUUAUGUUCAUUUCUUAAUGAACUAACAUAUACAAGACUCAAUUUACAAUUUACCAUACGAAUUGACCAUCAAAAUUGAUACUUACACAAGCCAUAUGAGAAAUACAAACACUGUCAUAAUUUUCUUCCUUUUUAACUGUAAUACGCAUACAAUUUCUUAUCUACGCAUAAACUCCAGCAUCAUAAACAAGUAUAAUCACAAUUACCAACUAUAUAUAUCCACAAUUCAUCAAUUUGAUUUCACAGAACAUAAACAAAACUAUGUCGUGAUGCACAUAAACAUGUAUAUAUAUAUAUAUAUAUAUAUAUAUAUAUAUACAAUACUAAGGUUAUGUAAAAAUACCUUUAAUUUGCUUGCAAUCCUUGCUAUCACCACUGAUAAUCACUAUGAAAUCCUCAGGUUUCCUCUCAACUCUCUCUCAAUUCUCUCUGAAUGUUCUUCUCUCUUUUCUCAGCAACUAGAAUGCGUAAAAAGAAAACAAACUGAUAGCUAUAAUGCGUAAAAAUAAAACUGCUAAUCCUUAAUACGCCAAACUUAAUAAAAUAUCAGUUACAAAACUAACGUAUAUAUUAUAAAUAUAUUAUAUUUAUUAUUUUAAUUUAUUUUAUUUUAAUUCAAAUAUUAAAAUCCAAAAGCCAUAAGGCUUUGUUUGGCAAAACCCUUUAAAUUUUAAAGACUUAAAAUAUUUAAGCCUUGUUUGGCAAAAGCUAAAUUAAACUCCCUUAAUAUAUUUUUAAUAAACAAUUUUAGUUUAUAAUUUAUAAUCACAUAUUAUUUAUUUGGAUUUUCAUAUCCAACAUUAACCAAGUAAAUUAAUCACAUACUAUAUUUUAAUUAAAUAUAUCAUUUUAGCAAAUAUCACAAAAUUAUAAUUUUCAUUAUAGCUUUAUUUAAUAAUUUAAUAUACCAUCUAAAUUAUUAAAUCAACACAACCAUACAAUAUCUCAUGUUAUAUUACAACUCUCUAAAUUAUGAAUACAACAUCUCAUGUUAUAUUACAACUCUCUAAAUUAUGAAUUAAUUUAAUUUAGAAAAUUAUCUAAUAAAUUUAGAUUCAACAACCAUCACAUCAAUAAAAUAUUUAUUUUAUCAGUUUCAACAAUGCACAUCAAAUAAAUAUUUAUAUAUAAUAAAUAUUGAAAAUUAUAAUUUGAAAUUCUGGAUUGUUACAUCCUUCCCUCCUUACAAGGAUUCUGUCCCCAGAAUCACCAUUCAAACAAUCAAAUCGUCACAUUCUUCCCUACUUACAAAGAUUUUAUCCCCAGAACCGAAGACACAAACUAAACAAAUAACUCAUGAUAAUUCUUCAUCAUUUCAGCUUUGAGUUCCCACGUAGCCUCUUCGACAUUGUGGUUCCUCCAUAUCACCUUCACAGAAGGUAUCGCUUUACUCCUGAGAACUUGUUCUUUCCUGUUGACUAUCUGGAUAGGAAUCUCCUCAUAAGAUAAAUCUUUACUGAGAUGCAACGGUUCAUACUCAAUCACAUGUUUGUAAUCGGGUUUAUACAGUUGCAACACCGACACAUGAAAAACAUUGUGCACAUGUUCUAACUCUGGAGGUAAAGCUACCUUAUAAGCUACUUCUCCCACUCUUCGCAAUAUCUCGAAAGGUCCAAUAAACCUUGGGCUGAGCUUUCCUUUCUUGCCAAAACGAAUUUUCCCCUUCCAAGGAGAAACUUUCAGGAACACAAAAUUUCCUGCCUCAAAUUCACGACUCCGCAUGUGUUGAUCAACAUACUUUUUCUGUCGAUCUUGAGCAGCUACCAAUCUUGCUUUGAUGAGUUUGAUAACUUCAGCGGUCUACUGUACCAGUUUUAGGCCUAACAGUUGACGUUCACAAACUUCAUCCCAACAUAGUGGAGUUCUGCAUUUCCUGCCGUAUAAUACCUCGUACAGUGGCAUGCCAAUGCUUGCGUGGUAACUGUUGUUGUAUGCAAAUUUCACCAACGGUAGAUGAUCAUCCCAGUUUCCUUUAAAAUCCAUUAUGCACGCUUUAAGCAUAUCCUCUAAUGUUUGGAUUGUUCGUUCGCUUUGACCAUCAGUUUGCGGAUGAUAUGUCGUACUCAUCUUCAAUUUCGUUCCCAUGCAUUCUUGUAGUCUCUUCCAGAAAUUUGAUGUGAACCUUAGAUCUCUGUCUGAUACAAUUGACACUGGAACUCCAUGUCUUGAGACGAUCUCUUUAACAUAUAGCUUCGCCAGCUGAUCAAGAUUAAAUCUAAUCUUUAUUGGCAAAAAGUGUGCAGAUUUUGUCAAUCUGUCCAUUAUCACCCAUAUCGCAUUGUAGCCUUUCUGAGUUGUUGGAAGGCCUACCACAAAAUCUAUUGUGAUAUGCUCCCAUUUCCAUUCCGGUAUUUCCAACGGUUGAAGUAAUCCGCUUGGUCUUUGAUGCUCGGCCUUCACUUUCUGACAUGUCAAGCACUUUGCAACGCAUUUUGCGUUAUCUCUUUUCAUAUUUGGCCACCAAAAAUGUCGCCGCAAAUCUUGAUACAUUUUCGUAUUUCCCGGAUGAAUCGAAUAUCUUGAGCUAUGAGCUUCUGUCAAGAUGUCUUCUUUAAUAUCCUAUACUGCUGGAACCCAAAUUCGUCCCUCGAAUCUCAGCAUUCCCUCAGUAUCAACCAUGUACUUCACUUCUUUUUCCUCGACCACACUUUCUCUUUUUUUUCUGCAUUCCUCAUCCUGCAGUUGAGCGUUCUUCACUUUGUUCACCAAAGUUGGACUAGCUUCCAUCUGGAACAAUUUUUCAUUGGUCUCUUUGGGAAAUUUUAUUUCCAACUCUAGUCUUGCCAUUGCUGAAAUGAGCUCCUCCUGGUUGGUUAACAACAUCAACUUCUCUCGGCCUUUCCUACUCAAGGAAUCUGCAACCACAUUAGCCUUGCCCAGAUGAUAAAAGAUAUCGCAAUCAUAAUCUUUUAUCAAUUCCAUCCAUCUUCUUUGACGCAUGUUCAGGUCUUUCUGUGUGAAAAUAUACUUCAGACUUUUAUGGUCUGUGUAGAUCUCACACUUCUCUCCAUAGAGAUAAUGUCUCUAUAGCUUCAGAGCAAACACUACUGCUACCAACUCUAAAUCAUGAGUUGGAUAUCCUUUCUCGUGGUCUUUCAAUUGCCUUGACGCAUACACAAUGACUUUGCCGUUCUGCAUUAGAACACACAUCCUAAACCCUUGUGCGAAGCAUCACUAUAUACCACAAAAUUUUCUGUAUUAUCUGGUAACGACAACAGAGGUGUCACACUUAACUUCUUUUUCAAUUCUUGAAAACUUUCUUCACAUCUCUCCGUCCAAACAAAUUUUACAGAUUUUCUCGUCAAAUUCGUCAAUGGAGUGGCAAUCUUGGAAAAAUCCUGAAUAAAUCGUCUAUAAUAUCCUGCCAAUCCCAAGAAACUUCUCACUUCUGAAGGUGUUCUUAGUUGUUCCUAAUUGAUUACGGCUUCAACUUUUGAUGGAUCCACUGAGAUUCCAUCCUUGUCAAUCAUAUGUCCAAGAAAUUGUACACGUUCAAGCCAAAAUUCACAUUUAGAGAAUUUCGCGUAUAACUUUUCUUUUCUUAGCGUCUCCAGCGUCAGACGUAUGUGUUCCGCCUAUUCUUCUUGAGAUUUAGAGUACACCAGAAUAUCAUCGAUAAAUUCCACCACAAACUUGUCUAAAAAUGGUUUAAAAACCCUGUUCAUUAAAUCCAUGAAUGCUGCAGGGGCGUUUGUCAAACCAAAAGACAUCACCAAAAAUUCGUAAUGUCCAUACCGAGUUCGGAAUGCCUUCUUCGGUACAUCCUCCUUCUUUACUUUCAAUUGGUGAUACCCACUUCUCAAAUCUAUUUUCGAGAAAUAUCUAGCACCCUUCAAUUGAUCAAACAAGUCAUCUAUCCUUGGCAAUGGAUACUUGUUCUUAAUAGUGACUUUGUUUAAUUCCCUAUAAUCAAUGCAAAGACGCAUUGAGCCAUCCUUCUUCUUCACAAAUAACACCAGUGCUCCCCACGGUGAUACACUCGACUGAAUAUACUUUUUAUCUAACAGUUCUUGCAGUUGCACCAUUAGUUCUUUCAUCUCUACCGGAGCCAUUCUGUACAGGGCCUUCAAUAUCGAAGCGGUUCUUGGCGCUAAGUCGAUCACGAAUUCGAUCUCUCGGUCAGGCAAAAGUCCUGGCAAAUCCUCCAGAAACACAUCUAGGAAUUCCCUAACCACUGGUAUUUCCUCCAGUUUAACACCCUUCUCCUUUUGAGUAUCGACUAUGUAGGAUAAAUAUCCUACACAACCCUGGCUCAACAACUUCUUGGCCUGCAUCAUCGUCAGACAUCUCAUUUGUCUAGGAGAUUUGCUACCAUGAAAAACUACCUUUGACGGAGUCAUAAGGUUUACACACUUCUUUUGGCAAUCAAUUAUCGCUCCAUAAUUGAAUAACCAAUUCAUUCCCAAAAUAACAUCGAACUCUCCGAGUUUUAUCGGGAUUAAAUCUACUUUCAUGACAUUCCCCUUAAUGUUCACCCUACAAUUCUUGUAUACAAACCUAACAGGAAUUACCUCUCUAUUCGCAAUUUCUAUGUUUAAAGAGAAAUUCAACUCUUCACUAGGUAUUUCUAACUUCUUAGCAAAUUCAUCAGAUAUAAACGAGCAAGUAGCACCCGAAUUAAAUAAUACAUAUGCAUUUAUAUCAUUGAUUGGGAUAAUACCUGACAUGACAUCUUUUGAUUGCACCGCGUCUUGUACCAUUAUAUUGAAGGUUCUGGCUAUGGGAUGUAAUGACCAUGAAUUUUAAACUCCUUAUUAAUUAAAUAUGUGAUUUAAUUUUUAACGAGUUAGUUUUGUGAGUCUAUUUAAACCUUAUGUGGUUAUGUGAAUUUCUGAAAUGAUUAAAGGGAGUCACUAAUAGUUUAUUUAAAUUAGUGGACUAACCCUAAGAUUUUAAUAUCAAGGAAUUGAUAAGAUUAUUAUUAAUUAAAUAUUCAAUCUAUUUGAAUAUAGUAGCAAGAGUUGAUCAUAUUGGUUAAUUGCAAAUAUGAGUAAUUAAUUGAUAAUGUGUUAAUUAAUAAUUAUUAUGAAUAAAUAAUAAUUAAUGAAUAUCAUGUGAUUAUAUGUUUACUUGAUUUAUUGGUGCAAUAUAGUAAACCUUUAUUAUAUGGUAGUUGACUAUCUAUUUUAUAUAAUACAAGGUGGCACAUUAAUAUGUCUAUAUAUUAAAUAUAGACUAUAUAGUAAGAGUUAAUUGCAUUUAUGUGAAUUGCAUAUUAAUAUUGUUAUGUGAUAUGAAGUGUGUGGGUAAACAUUCAUGUAUACCCUGUUAACAUAUAAUAAUAUCCAUUGUUAAAAUUAAUAAUGAUUUCAUUAGUUAUUAUAAUAAUAACAGUCAUGGUAAUUGAAAAUGUACAUGAAUUAUAUGUAUGUGCACUACUUGAUAUCUUGUAAUUGGGAAAUACAUUGUAUGCCCUUUUAAAUCAUUAUAACCUAUGUUAUAUGAAAUGAAUUAUGUGUACAUAUUUGAUAACCAAAGUCUAUAUUAUGUGUAUAUGUGGUAUAAACCAAUUGUAGCAUUUCAUUUCUUGUGUAAAAUGCUGAGUCUUGCUCCUUGUCCCAAAAAGAGUGUCUCAUUAGUACAUGAACAGUAGCCUACAUUUGAUUUACGUAACUUUCAUAUGGAUAAUCUUAGGUGAUCAUUUGCUAGCUAUGUGGCUGGUAGAGAGUUAUUAAACCACUCUUGAUUAUCCUUUGUUUCCUUCCAUUACUCCAUGGACUUCAAUCUUGUGUAAUGUGAUUAUCUAGUCCAAGUCCCCUCUAUAAAUACUAGCUCCAAAUUCAGUUUUGUUGUUUGUUUAAGUCUGAUAUUGAGAGUUCUAAGUUACUGAAGUUUUUUUUGAAGCAAGCUUAGAGGAAAUAAAUUAAGUCAUUCAGGCUCCAAGAGGUAUAAAAUCUAGCUUAUGUUCUUCAUUUGGUAUUUGUCAAAUUCUUGUAAUUCUCAUGAAUUCUUGGUAAUGUGGCAUGAAUUGGCUUAAAGGUGUGUUAUACAAGUUAGUAUGCAUGCUUAGAAGUCUUAAAAGUAGUUGAGUUGCAGCAAUUAAAUGUUUGGCAAAGUUGGAGUUGAGCCUCUGCAGAAGCAGAGGCCAUUUUUUUUCUGUCUGGUCGAAGUGGCGCGGCCGAGCCACUUCCUAUGCCUUUCACCGCGCGGCCGUGCGGGUAGCAGAUUACAAUUGCUCAUGUUAGCUUCUUUAGAUAUGCUGAGCUGUCUAUAGCAGUUAGUAUAUGAAUAUAAAUGACCUGAACUUGUGGACUAAGGUAGUUAUGUAUUUAGUAAGCCAUAGGUUUGUUUUGACUUAGUUAUUCAAAGAAGGUUUAUAGGUUGAAAAACUAUAAAUUGUAUACAUGGAGUAAUAUACAUUCUGACCUUGUGAACAUAUGUAAAUAACUUGAGUAUGUGCACAAAUACAUAUGAAAGCAUGAAUUAGACAAUAUAGAUGUAUCUUGCAUGCUUGAAUGAAUUUUACUAAUGGAGACUUAAAGUUUUGAAAAUAAACUUGAUAAACUAUAUAUAUACAUUAAGUUGAGAACUUGUAAGUAUGUUUUUGAUGUCUAGCAUGUAUAUAUGUAAAAGUAUGAUGUAUGGUAGGUAAAGUGACUUACAUGAUUGAUAGCUUAACAUAUGAAGUCUUGAUUAAGUAAAAACGAAUAAUGACCUUUGAUAUGUUUGAUAAAAGGUUAAAGUUAGUUAUUCAUAUAAUAACAUGUAUGUUGUGCAUGAUUGUUCGUUUAUGUGCGAGUCGUGUGUACACUGGUUUCUGUAGAAGAAGCCAUGUCUUGGUUUGUACCAGGACCAGCGCGGCCGCGCCACUCCGCGGCUGCGUGGUUUUACACUUAGAUCUGAGUUGUGUUAUUAAAUUGAGAACUGAUGCAUGCUUAGAUGGUUACUCUACUCUGUAAUACUUGUCUAGUAUAGUAGCCAUAUGAUAAUAAGCAUGUUAUUGAAAGAAAUCCUAUGAUGAAUUAGCAAAUGGUGAUUUCAACUAUGACAUAAUUAGAAACUAAUCGAGUAAUGUAAUGAUACAUGUAUUGGAAUAUGCAAUGUGAUGAUUUGAUUCUUUAAGUGUAGACUCGUUCUAGUUUACACAUACUAAUUGAAAGACCGACUUGUUAAUAUUAGGUCAUUUCAACGCAAGUAAUUAAAGCUAGAAUUAUAUUGUAGCUGAACAAGCAAGCAAGUAUCCUAAACCCUUGUAUUACUUUAUUCGACGCAUACCGUAAGCAAGUUCCUUGAGCCCUACUUUUGUUAAGCAAGUUUCCCUAAACUUACUCUAAAAUAUAUUGAGUAAGUAUCCAAAUUUAUUAUGUUACAAGUUUCCUAACUUACACAACUUUGAGUUUGUGCAAGUUUUUCCUAUCCUUCUUAUAUUGCAUUGAGUAGGAUAUUGUUGAACUGAAAGUUAUUCAUUUAAGCUUGAAAUCUUAUUUCCAAGCAUGUUAUUAAGUGGUUUAAUUACUUUACAGUUAUUCCACAUCGAUAUCAUUGACAUUCGCACUUAGUGCACUCGAGUUCGUACAGUCUUGCACUUGUACAUCUUUUAAAGUUCAAUAAUUCUUGAACUGUGUCAGAUAGAGUCUAAACCUUUGUUCGGUCAGACAAACGUAUAAAGUUUUAUAAAAGCUAUCCAAACCAAUUGAUGGUAAGGAUUCUUAGGCUGAAAGAACACCCCUCUUAUGAUAGGGGAGUACCCCAGGUAUCUAAUAUAAGAUACAAUAGAGCAGAUUUAAAUGUUAUGCAUAUACAUAGAGUACGUGAGGCUGAUCCCCUCAAGUAGUUAUUCUGUAGCCAGUAACCAAAUGGUCAAUUAGCUAUUGAUUCCAUUGGAGUGUUAUAGUUCAAAGUCUACUUGACUAGCAAUUAUUCUAAAAGCAAUCAUUAUCUUUGCUUAUGAUAUUCAUAUUGUUGACUCCUUCAGAUAUUCGUAUUGUUGAAUCCAUUGCCAGAUAUUUUUCCAUUCAUCAUGAUAUAUCCUUAUUGUUGUAUUUAAACUUGUUAAGCAAACUUGUUGCCCAUCCUUGCUAUAUCAUGAAUAUAUUGCAGCUAAGCCUGAGACCUUAGGAAAGGACAAGGGUAAAGGGAAGAUGUAGGAUAAUUGCAAGAAGCAAAAUUUAUCUUAUGCUUAGUUUAAAUUACGAUUAUGUAAUGUGAACCCUAAUACUUAUUUUAGGGUAUGAUUGUAAGAUGAUAUUAAGGUUAUCGUAUCUUGGGACUAGUAACACCUUUUGAAUGAACGACGUACAUUUAUUAUAUUCCGCAUUUUAGUUAUCGUAUAUUGUUUAAGAGGUAGAUGUCAGUAUUUUAUCGUGAUGACCGAACCGGGGUCAGAGGACCCGAAUUCGGGGGCGUCACAGCUUAUUUGAUGACGUUGGCCCAACAAUAGUCAAUUUACCUCCACUAGCAUUUCCCUUGCUUCCAUUUACCUCACCAGAUCUCUUCUUAGGGCAUUCACGAGCAAAGUGAUCCUUGGACCCGCACAUGAAACAAACGUUCUUCUUAUAUUGAGUGCAAUUUGGGGCGAUGUGACCCUCCUGGCCACAGUUGAAGCAUACUCGUUUCCCCAUCAAGCACACACCCUUGUGAAACUUCCCGCAUGUAGCACAUGCUUCUAACUUCUUAUUUUGCUGAUUACCCUACUGGUUUCCUGCACCCACAUUUGCAUUCCACUUCAUUUUCAAGUUAUUGUUGCCAUUUCCACCAUUACCACCACCACCAUUCUUAGCUUCACCUUCAUUCUUCUUCUUUCUCUACUCCUGAUUAUGCUUUGUUACAGCCUCGCCUCCACUCUCGGUGAGAAUUGCCUUCUCCAUUACUAUUGCAAACGUCUUUAGCUGGAACAGGGAGACCUUACUGUACAACCAGGGCUUCAGUCCUUGUUCAAACCUCUUCGCUUUGCGUUCGUCUAUGCUGACUUGAUAUGGCGCAAACCUCGCCAACUCGUUAAAUCUUGCGGCAUACUCAGACACCGACAUUGUGCCCUGCUUCAGUUCUAAAAACUGCACUUCUAGCUGACUCUUUGAACUUUCUGGAAAAUAGGUCUCAAAGAAUAUUUCUUUGAACCUUUCCCAAGUCAUUACCCCUUGACCUCCUUGAGUUUUAUUGGCUUGCCACCAAUAACUAGCCUCUGCUUUCAACAUGAAUGUUGCAAAAGCAGUCUUCUGAUUCUCCUCUACCCUAGCAACAUCGAAAACUUUCUCUAUUUCCAUGAUCGAGGUCUGUGCUUCAACCGGAUUCAUGGACCCACGGAAUUCUGGUGGUCCAACCGCCUUGAAAUCCUUAAACGUUGUACCUUGGUUCUGAGGUUGAUUCUGCAAAGCACCCGUCAGUAACGUCACUAGCUGCUGAACUGGGUUAUCUUCCACAUUGUUAUUGUUGGUUUCCUCAGUGGUUCUUUGUCGUGGUUGAUGUCUUGGAGGUAUUUUCUGUUAAAAUACAUCCAUUAGAUUCUAUUCAACCUUUUAAGUAUUACUACUUAAUUUGCACACCAUAUAAGAUUAUCACGUAACACAUAACACUUUGAAUAAAAUAGUAACUUUUAUUCAUUCAUAAUUAAAAAAACAUCAAAACAAUAGCAUCACUGCUAUUUACAUCACUUUCCUGAACUAUAACAGUUGCAGGAUUAAUUCAUCAUCAUCACAUCCCAUUGGUUAUAUCAUACCUGGGAUUUACAUCUUAUUUACUUACUAAUCACAUAUCAGAUACAAUCCUACGAUGUCCUACUAAGAUACUGCGUAGCCUUACGAUGCUUUUCCUCCAUAAUUCGAGUCAUUGUUCGUCGAUCUAAAAUGUACGAUGGCAGCGUCUCAAAUUGAAUAGGAUAACACAUGACCUGAUCUUGAGCUCGAUUGAUCAUUGUGUUGAAUACAUUAUUCAUCUCUUCCAUCUUCAUCCUCUUUGCUUGUGCGUCCCUCUCUGCCAUCCUGGCUCGUUGACAAGUUUCCUUAUACGCGUCUUUGGCUCUUGCCCUCUUGGUAGAUUCCUCUUUCAGCUUAUUCUCCAGUUCUGUAAUCUUCUCUAUCAGUUGCUCGUUUUCUCCUUCAGUGUAGAUCAGCUUCUCUUCAACAUUGUUCAGACGUUCUUCUUGAUCCUAAAUCUCGUCGUCCUUCUAUGCCAUCGAGGUCUGUUGUUCAGCUACUAUCUCUUGCAACUCCUCGACGGUAUCUUGAAGUUCCACAUUGCGGUCGUAUACUUCGUCGUACAUACGGGCAUCUAUCGAGUUAAGUGGAAGUUCUUCCUCCUCGUCCCCCUCAUCCAACUGUGGAAACUCAACAAGGUCCUCCUCGUCCGUCUCUAUCUCAUCAUCCUCAUCAGGUAUUCUCAACUGCUCAACUACUGUGACCAACGGAGUUGUUUCCCGUGGCAGUAGCUGUUCCCAAAUAACCUGAAUAUCUUGAGGCACCUACUCUCUAGGCAUCUGGGAUCCUUCCUCCCUAGCCUGACUGGAUCCUCCUAUAUUAGCCAUCCUGUCAACCAAAUUUUUAAGUUUAAUUACUAAUCAUUACUACUCGACACUCAUGAGCACAUGAGUUAUAAUCACAUAAGCACAUGAGUGUUUUUAUUACUUUUUCCUUAAAACUCGAUAAGAGUUUAUCAUCACUAUCUUUUCAAAAGUUUCUUCCGAAGGCUUUUCCCCACCUAAGGUUCAUAACCUAAGGCUUUGAUACCAACUUGUGACACCCCCAAAUCUAGGUACUUCAUUCCCACAAGAUUUGGUGCUCACUAUCCAUACAUUCAUACUAUCUACCAAAUAAAAUAAUAUUUAAACCAUAAAUCCUCCCUAUAAAUAGGAUUACAUUAUUAAAUCCAAAAACAUCCAAGGUUGUCUAACCUUUAAACAUCAUAUAAAUGCGAAAAUAAAAUUAUUACAUCACAUCAUUAUUUAAAAGUCUAUGAUUAUAACAAUAAAUGAAAUUACAAGUCUGCAUAACUUGUACAUUUUUUCCUUUCCUUUGCUAGUUGAAGGCUCAUCUACCGUCUCAACUUUAGCUGCAAUAAUAAUAUUUAUGUAAGAGUGAGCAAAACAAUUGCUCACUGGAUAUAACAAUGAAUUAACAGGAGAAUAAUAAUAAUAACUGCCAAUGAAUAGGCUCAUCAAAACUGAAUUGUACUCUAUUAUUGAUAACCAAAAACUGGAAUCCAAAAUAUGGAGUAUAAAUAUCUGAGGGUCAUAAGACCACAAACUAUAUAUGUCUACAGUUACGAGUAAUCUUUCAACUCCAACUUUAACAGUCAUAAGACUAUAGGGACUCCUCAUACUUAGGGGGAUCAGCCCUUCAUACAAUGUAUUGUGCACAAACAUUUCAAUGCUAAGUGUAAAUUAUCCCCUAAUAAUAGGGUUGUUCAUCUCAGUAUUUAGAGUACAAGUCCGCACAAAAGUAAGUUUGGUUUGGAUACAUUUCAAGGGUAAUUUAGAAUUCAACGGUCAUCAACUAAGGAUUAGUUGAAUACAAUAUUGAUAACGUCAUGCUAUGGAAUAAUCAUAACUAAAUCGACAUCGAAAAUUAAGAUCAUGCUUUAGGAAUAAACUAAUUGCAUAAACAUCGAAUAAUCAUAACGUACCUUGCUUGAACAAUAUUAAGCCAAUGUUAUUUAGUAUUGAGUACUAAGCAUGCAUAAUAAAUAGUACUUUAAACAAUAAAACUUGUUCAACAUGAGUAUAUUGGAAUAUGUAAACUUGCAUGCUAGAUAACAAGUUAAAGACAAGAAUAACUUGUUCAAUAGCAAAAUAAGAUCUCGAUUUAGAAAUCAUAAACAAACUAGAUACAAGAACUUGCUCAAUAGUAAGAAUAAGCUUGCACAACGUAAUAAAUGAACUAUCUCAACGAAAGUGUAGAGUUAGGAAAACUUGCUCAAUGUAAAAAGAGAAGUUUAGAAACCUGCUCAAUGUAAAUGUAGAGUUAGAAAACUUACCUCGUGCGUAAGCUAUAAUAUUAAACUCACGUUCACCUACACAUAGGUUUAGAACCACAAUUCCUAUUAGAUAUGCUAACAUACCAUAACAUGUACAUUUCUAACCAAACUUAUCAUUUUAGCACAAGUCUUAUGCUACCAUAUAUAUAUUCCAGAAUUCCCAAGUGUUCACAUCACAACACUUAUCUAACAUUCAUUGUGUAUAAACUAAGUUAUAACAUAACACGUUCAUAACUUAUAAUCAUUUGAAACAUUGAAACUACUAACCACCUAACACGAUUCUGUUUUAACCAUGUUAUUAAAUGUUUGACACCCUAACACAACCUUAGACCAAGCUAUAGGGGUGUUUCAAGGUCUGAAGUAGCAACAAAACUAGCUAUCUCAGGACAGGGUAUGGCGUAGUUGCGUCAUACACAAGCCUGGGACCGGCGCAGCUGUGCCAUUUUUUGCCUUGGCACCGGUGUAGCUGCGCCGAUGCACAGACAGAGGCAGAGACGGCUAUGAAUUGUAGCCGACUUUAGCCCAACAAACACGAAUUUCACCCACUAAACAAUAAUAUUAACACGUACAAUUGAUACAAAACCAUAAUAAACAUAUUUCCUCACAUAUAUAUCAAUAUAGAACAAUUUAACAACAAUUAUACUAGUUUAAUUUCUCAAAUUUCUCAUUUUCAUAUAAAAACUCAAUUUUUGACAUCCUCUUCAAAAAUCAGCAAUGUAAUAUCUAUACUUGGCCAAAUUGCUUCGUUCAAAUUACGUUAUGCUCGUUUCUUAAUGAACUAACAUAUACAAGACUCAAUUUACAGUUUAUCAUACGAAUUGACCAUCAAAAUUGAUACUUACACAAGCAAUAUGAGAAAUACAAACACUGUCAGAAUUUUCUUCCUUUUUAACUGUAAUACGCAUACAAUUUCUUAUCAAAUCAUAAACUCCAGCAUCAUAAACAAGUAUAAUCACAAUUACCAACUAUAUAUAUCCACAAUUCAUCAAUUUGAUUUCACAGAACAUAAACAAAACUAUGUCGUGAUACACAUAAACAUGUAUAUAUAUAUAUAUAUAUACAAUACUAAGGUUAUGUAAAAAUACCUUUAAUUUGCUUGCAAUCCUUGCUAUCACCACUGAUAAUCACUAUGAAAUCCUCAGGUUUCCUCUCAACUCUCUCUCAAAUCUCUCUGAAUGUUCUUCUCUCUUUUCUCAGCAACUAUAAUGAGUAAAAAGAAAGCAAACUGAUAGCUAUAAUGCGUAAAAAUAAAACUGCUAAUCCUUAAUACGCCAAACUCAAUAAAAUAUCAGUUACAAAACUAACGUAUAUAUUAUAAAUAUAUUAUAUUUAUUAUUUUAAUUUAUUUUAUUUUUUCAAUUCAAAUAUUAAAAUCCAAAAGCCAUAAGGCUUUGUUUGGCAAAACCCUUUAAAUUUUAAAGACUUAAUAUAUUUAAGCCUUGUUUGACAAAAACUAAAUUAAUCUCCCUUAAUUUAUUUUAGUAAACAAUUUUAGUUUAUAAUUUAUAAUCACAUAUUAUUUAUUUAGAUUUCCAUAUCCAACAUUAACCAAGUAAAUUAAUCACAUACUAUAUUUUAAUUAAAUAUACCAUUUUAUCAAAUAUCACAAAAUUAUAAUUUUUAUUAUAACUUUAUUUAAUAAUUUAAUAUACCAUCUAAAUUAUUAAAUCAACACAACCAUACAACAUCUCAUGUUAUAUUACAACUCUCUAAAUUUUGAAUACAACAUCUCAUGUUAUAUUACAACUCUCUAAAUUAUGAAUACAACAUCUCAUGUUAUAUUAUAACUCUCUAAAUUAUGAAUUAAUUUAAUUUAGAAAAUUAUCUAAUAAAUUUAGAUUCAACAACUAUCACAUCAAUAAAAUAUUUAUUUCAUCAAUUUCAACAAUGCACAUAAAAUAAAUAUUUAUAUCUAAUAAAUAUUUAAAAUUAUAAUUUGAAAUUCCGGAUUGUUACAAUGAUAUUAUGUGUUAUGUGAAGCAUGAAAACUGUUAAAUUUGUUGAGCAGAGCUCAAUCUUGUAAAGUAAACUUUUUGCAGGUUAAGGAUUCAAAGUAAUAUUAUUUUCUAUAUGAACAAUAAGAAAAAUAAGGAGUGCAAAGGAAUAAUGUUUUCUUUGUUUGAAAUAAAUCCAAUAUGGUAUUAGAUUUAUAAUGUACAAAAUACAAUGUUGAUAGACUCCACACCACGCUUGCUUGAGGUGGUCGUCGUCCGGAUCGAUUCUAGCGAAGUAAUAAGGUGCAUGGAACGCUUACGACACCUCAACCCAACGUCUAUAUUGAGAUGAGAACCUUGGUACAAUCGAUCACGCAAUAAAAUUUGCGUUGAAUGGAACACCAACGACGCCUAAACCCCUUGUUUAUAUUAAAACAGGAACCUCGACACAAUCGACGAUUGAUUCAGUAGAAGACGCCACAUAACUAUGUAUUGUUGUAUGAUAAGUCAAAUUGAAUCUCAAAGAAUUAACUAAAGAAUUAGCUUAGGAAUUCUUCAAAGAACCAAAAGUAGAAAAUAAUCCCACAAGUAAUUAAUUUUGAAUAUUAUUUAAUUAUGAAUAAUGAAUUACAUCCACGAGUCUUAAAUAAUAGAAAUUGAAACCCUAGGAAUCCUAAAAGGAAUCAAUAAUCAAAUAUGGAAUCAAAAUCGACCAUAAUAUCCUAGUUCUAAUAGAAUACUAAUAAUAAACUAGAAUUAUAGAGUUUUGGAAACAAAUCCACGCUCAAAAACCAUCAAAAUGUGUCUGCCUAAAAAAAUGCGCCAACACAUUUUGGGCAACCCAGCCGGGGCGGGCAUUUUUAGCCUAGAAAGCCUGUCGGGGCGGCCUCCUAGUCUUUUGGGGCGGGUGUUGGCAGAGAAGUUGCCGCCGGGGAGGGUGUUCUUGGGCUGAAAAACUCGAAUUCUGUUAUUGCCUUGCGCUGGACCGAUCAGAGACGACGCAAGUACGCGUGUCAUUCUCCCUAGACCAAGUACGCAAGACGACCAUGAAUCAUGUUAAUGAAUUUGGGCAUAAUAUCAUCCUCCCUAGACCAAGUACGCGUGUCAUUCUCCUUCCACAUUGCUUGUACUAAUCUCAUAAGACCUUCUUUGAACCAUUUAGCUAGUCUUCUUGUCACAGCUGUAAUAGGAACUUGCACCGGAUCCAAUUCAUGUCCUCGAUCUGAGUUCGAGCUAUUGAUGACCUCAUUAUUCCUCUCCUCUUGAAAAGGAUUUGCCCUCAAAUCGUCACCUACAUCAAAUGAAUUUAGAUCAAAAAAAUUGAAAGUUGCACUAACAUUAUACUCACUUGGUAAAUCCAGUUUGUAAGCAUUGUCAUUAACGCGUUCUAGCACUUGUAAUGGACCAUCUCUCUUAGAAGCAAUUUUGACCGUCUUUAAGCUGAAAACCUUUCUUUUCUCAUACAUAACAACACCCAAUCUUCGGGUUUAAAGAGAACUUGACAUCGACCCUUGUUGGCUUGUCUAGCAUAUUGCUUCGUCCUGGUCUCAAUGUUGAGACUCGCUUUCUCAUGUAUCUACUUAAUAAAUUCAGAAUUUUUCAUUCCAUCCAUGUUAGUUAAUUUAGAAACAGUAAUGGUGAUAAAUCUAAUGGAGUUAAAGGAUUAAAACCAUAAACGAAUGGUGAAAAUUUAGUAGCAGAAUGAACAAAUCGAUUAUAAGUAAACUUAACAUGCGGUAAAAACUCUUCCCAAUGACUGAUAUUCUUUUUAUAAUAGCCCGUAACAAUGCUGACAAAGUCAUAUUUACUACUUUAAUUUGACCAUCUGUUUGUGGGUGACAAGUUAUGGAAAAUAACAGCUUAGUUCCCAAUUUACACCACAAAGUUUUCCAAAAAUAGCUUAAGAACUUAGCAUCUCGAUCAGAAACAAUUGUUCUGGGCAUACCAUGCAAUCGAAUAAUUUCCCUAAAGAACAAAUCAACUAUAUGGGAUGCAUCAUCAGUUUAGUGGUAUGGAAUAAUUGUGUCAUCUUUGAAAAUCUAUCCACAAUCACAAAUAUAGAAUCAUUACCAUGCUUAGACCUAGGUAAACCUAACACAAAGUCCUGAUAUGUCAAUCCAAGGUUCAUUAGGUAUAGGCAAUGGUGUAUACAAUCCAUGGGGUUGAACACGAGAUUUAGACUAGUGACAAGUAAUGCAUUUAUCAUAAAUUCUUUCUACAUCUCGUUUCAUAUGAGGCCAAUAAAAAUGUUAUAUUAAAACAACCAAAGUCUUAUCCACAACAAAGUGUCCCAUUUAACCACCCCCAUGGGAUUCCCGAACCAAUAACUCACAGAAAGAACAUGCAAGUAUACAUAGUUUAUUCUCAUGUAACAGAAAUCUAUCCAUUUAAAGUAAUCAUCUACAACAUUCUUUUCACAAGUUUUAAACUCUUCACCGAAAUCAUUCUUUAAUUCCCUCAAAACCAAGUAAUUUCGAAUCAAGAGUAUUUAUGAAAACAUACCUUCGAGAUAAAACAUCCACAAUGAUAUUUUCCUUACCCUGCUUGUAACGAAUGACAUAUAGAAAUGUCUCGAUAAAUUCCAUCCAUCGUGUAUGUUGAUAAGUGGAUUUCAUAUCCACGUAUCGUUGUCCAUUUCAAGCUUAAUCGUUGUUAUUUUCUUGUUUUUAUGUUCAUUUUUACUCGUUUUGUGUUCUUGUAUGUGUAGGGUGGAUUGUUGUGGUGAUUAGCGAAGAAUUGAAGUCAUUUGGAGCAUUUAUGGAAGCAAUCAAAAAGUUAACAGCAUUGUUUAGCAGAAUAGACCCCCGCCGGGGCGGGCCCUUCUUGCUUAUGUACCCCCGCCGGGGCGGGGGGUCUUCAAUAUCAACUAACAGAAAAGAUGCCCGCCGGGGCGGGCCUAUUUUAGGCAUGUACCCCCGCUGGGGCGGGGGGUCUCGACUGCUGAACUCUCCUUUCUUGUUUUGAACUCUGCUGGAACAUGAAAUCUAGCAUUUGGAAGGCAAGUGAACUCUAUUGGACAUGGAAUUAAUUAGGUAAGCAUGUGUUGGAUGUAUAUUGCUGAAUUAACAACGAAUUAAAGAAGACACAAGGCAUAUUACAGAGAUUAAUUCCAGUUUUUCAUAGCAAGCUUUGGAGGGAGAUUUUGAAGAGAUUUUCAUGACGAUUGUAGAUUUAGGCUACGUGAAGGGUGUUUUUCACUAUUCUUCUUCUUAGUCUUUUAUUUGUAAUUGAAAGGAUGUUAUCUUUGAAUUAUUCAGUUAUUAUUUCAUUUAUGAUGAACUAAUUCACUUUUUAGGCUUAUGGUGGAUCCUUAAGUGAUACGAUGAUUUUGUAAACAAUGAUUUUCAGUUCAAUAAGCUAUUUUCCAGUUUAUCUAUAUUAAUUUGAGCUUGAAUUUAUGAAUUGCCUGAUCAACAAUUCUUCAUGGAUUUGUAUGGAAUCGAGAGAGGAUACUCAAGUCUAGACUUAGUUAAUAUAGCAUGUGUUCAUGAAUUUUGUGAAUAGCAGCUGUAAUGGAAAAACGAUUACUGCAAAUAAAUGAGCUCGAUGAAUUUUGCCUUCAAGCUUACGAGAACUCCAAGUUAUACAUGAAAAGGUCAAGAGAUGGCACGACCAGAAAAUUUUGCAUAGAACAUUCGAGCCGGGGCAAUAAGUCCUUUUGUUCAACUCAUGGCUGAGAUUGUUCCCAGGAAAGCUUAAGUCAAGAUGGUCGGGACAUUCACCAUAAAAAGGGUGUUCUCUUAUGGCGCCAUUGAACUCUAUAGUCGAAAUCCUUUAGAAACUUUCAAAGUCAACGGUCAACGAUUAAAGCACUAUUGGGGUGGCGAGUCCAACACCGAUGUCAUGGCCAUCACGUUGUCCAACGUACUAUGAACAGAAAGUAGUCAGGCUGAAUUACUUAAAAUCAAGUGCUAAUUGGGAGGCAACCCAAUCAUACGUUAAUUUUUUGUAUUUUCAUUCAUAAUUGUUAGAAUAUAGUUUUUAUUAAGUUAUUAGGUAGGUAUUAUAUAUUAAAAGUCUUGUUAAUCUCUCGCCAAUGCUCUAUUUGAUCAACAAUCCACUAAUUCAUAUGUUUUAUGUCUUGCAGGAUGGGGAAAUGUACAUUGAGUGGCUUAGCAUGAAGAAAAGAUGAGAAAAAGAGUCAGUUAGCAGAAGGCAUGCCCGCUGGGGCGGGCCUAUUUAACCUUGCACCCCCCGCUGGGGCAGGGCUCCCCUAAUCGAAUUAGCAGAGUGUAUGCCCGCCGGGGCAGGCUGUUUAUACCUAAUACCCCCCGCCGGGGCGGGGGUCCAGAAGUUGAAGUAGUGUUCUGCAGUUAUGGGAAGUGAUAACCUUCAUUAUUUCUUCCUGAAAUAAUUCUCCACAUCACUUCCAUUACUCCCAUUCCUCAACCCACUAUUUUGCCAACAUUCAUCACAUAUUCUCCCAUCAUCCCAUUACUUCACUCCAUCAAUCCACUACCCUUAUUUUUCUCCAUUACAUCACCUCUAUAUAAACACACACUCACAACCCAAGUUUAUCAUUUUCAUUCAAAUUGAACUCAGGAAGCCACGAAUUAGGGUUCUUACUGUGGGAAUUCAUCGUGCAUGUGAGCGUGAGUACCCUAUUUUCGAGUUCUUCAACUUCAUUCACCAUAAUUGCCACAUAAAAUUGACAAGUUUGGGGGAAAAUCGUUUGUGUUCGACAGUGUGUGUGAACCAAGUUUGGGGGNNNNNNNNNNNNNNNNNNNNNNNNNNNNNNNNNNNNNNNNNNNNNNNNNNNNNNNNNNNNNNNNNNNNNNNNNNNNNNNNNNNNNNNNNNNNNNNNNNNNNNNNNNNNNNNNNNNNNNNNNNNNNNNNNNNNNNNNNNNNNNNNNNNNNNNNNNNNNNNNNNNNNNNNNNNNNNNNNNNNNNNNNNNNNNNNNNNNNNNNNNNNNNNNNNNNNNNNNNNNNNNNNNNNNNNNNNNNNNNNNNNNNNNNNNNNNNNNNNNNNNNNNNNNNNNNNNNNNNNNNNNNNNNNNNNNNNNNNNNNNNNNNNNNNNNNNNNNNNNNNNNNNNNNNNNNNNNNNNNNNNNNNNNNNNNNNNNNNNNNNNNNNNNNNNNNNNNNNNNNNNNNGGGGGGGGGAGAUACUGUGAUACAAGCAUUCGAAAUUCAAUGGCUUCGCAACCCACAUCGAAACGCCAAAGAGGAGAGAGUUCAAGGCCCGCACAACUGACACGGACCUUCAAUCGUCGAAAAUUCGUAAGUGCCGCCGCCGCCGACCAGUAUGAUUAUAUGAUGACAAAAGCAUAAAUUUACCGAAAGUGUUGAUGGGGAGAUGAUGCAACAAAUCUAUCAGAAGGGUUGGAAUAAAUUUACCGAAGAACCAGAAUCCGCUGUGUCAACAUAGUCAAGGAGUUCUAUGCGAACGCCGAGGACAAAGCCCCCUUCAACGCUUAUGUACAGGGUCGCUUAGUCCCGUUCAGUGCUGAUGCCAUAAACACUUAUUAUCAACUGCGCGUGCCUCGUUAAUGCCAAAAUGCCCACCUACGUGAUUUUGAUCCGGACUAUGGGGCAAUACUCAAGGAAAUGACUAAGUCGGGAACAACAUGGAUCAAAGGUCGGAAGGGAGGCACAGUUUUCCAUAGCAAAGAUCUCAAUUAGUAUGGAAAAAUUUGGUACGCAUUCCUAUGUGCUAAAUUAUAUCCGUCCCAACACACCUCGGACAUGACCAAAGAGAAGGCGUUAUUGCUAUAUACGAUUGUGCAAGACUUCAUCAUUGACGUCGGGGCCAUUAUAUGUUUUUCCAUCCGUUGGUGCUUACGAGGAAACCUUUCGGGCGGCUUGCCACACCCAUCACUCAUAUGUGGCUUGUGUCGCCAAGCGGGUGUGAGAUGGUCUGAUGAUGAACCCACACAGAUGCCGCUGCAGUUGCUAGACUCCAGAAUGAUAGCGCGGUGUUCAGUAUGGGCUGGGGACGAUUCCCAUCCUCGAGGUCUGGGGUUUAUUUUUCCAUCGGCUUCGGAGGACGAAGUUGUUGCUGCAGACACCUCGGAGGAUGAGGAUGAGGCUGUGGGAGAUCUAGGAGCCGAGCAGGUAACGCAUUUCGAAGCAUUAUCCAGUCCUCAGUUUCUUGACUUUCAACGUCAAAUGGAUGCGCACAACAAGGCAGCACGUCGGGAGAUGCGACGACUCGCAUUGAGGCAAGACCACAUAUUUGACGCUAUGAACACGUCUUUCGCUUCACUCAACAUGACACUUCAGAGCUUCAAUCCAGUUGCACAAUUCUCAUACCAGCAGCCCAUGCCAAUGCCAAGGUUUCCACCAAGUAAUUCAGAAGAAGAAGAUCAACCACCACCUCCCUAGACUUAGGCGAUUGCAGGAAGUCCUCACAUACUUAAUUGUGAUUACUCAUCCAAUGAGGACUUUGUAUUACUUAAGUUUGGGGGAUUUAAAUUCUUGUUUGAAUGCAUAUGUUAUGAUGUUACAUUUGUCAUUGCAUUCUAGUUUUGCAUAUUAGUUUAGGAAUUAUGAUGUUGCAUUCAUAUAGUCACAUAGUAGUUUAGGUCACUUUUGUUAUUGCAUUUUUAUUUUUAUUUUUUGUUUUUAUUGCAUUAUGUCAUGUUAUGCUAGAUUUUCUAUCUAAUAUCUAAAAAAAUAAAAAUAAAUAAAUAAAUAAAUAAAUAAAUAAAUAAAAUAUUUAGUUAAAUAUUGUGUUUGCAUAUGUCCAGCAGUGUUGAAGUUCAUGUUAUUUUGGCCAAUGAUGAGAUUGAGAAUAAGUUAACUAUUACAGCAGUGAUUAUUAGAACUGUGAUAGAAUUUCUAUUAUGAAUCGAAUCUUGUGCUUGUUUGAAACUGGUAUAAAAAGGUUAGCACGCUAAUAACAUCUUUGUUGACUGGUCAGUUCAAAUUGAUACAUAAAUAGUUUCUAAAGGAUAAUGCAAGGGUAAAUGAUAAAAUGACAAGGAUAGGCAGUAAAGGCGAAACUUAGGCAAGAACCUAAGCUUGGGGGAUUAUAUGUGGGGUAUAUAAGCUUUAUCUAAAAAAAAGGAUUAUAUGUAGUGACUAGUCUUGUUUCGGGGCCUUUGUUACUUGAGCAAGUACGCCCGAGGGGAUUGUCUUUACACCUAGCGCCCUAAUGUCUUUUAUGGUUUGGGAGUCGUUGGUCGAAAGCUCGCUAAGGGGUAUCACUGUUAGCCUAAUGGGAUGAGACAUUGCACAGUCAUGUAAAAAAAAAAUGAAUAAAACGGGAAAAGAGCAAAAAGCCCCGUGUAAAAAAAUAAAUAAAUAAAGUAUAAGUACCCUACAUGAACCCUUGAAUAUGGUACUGCUUAGUUUUAGUUGGAAUUGGCCUAUUCUUGAAAUUUUUAAGUUUGCGCUGUAUGAUGCCUUCUAAGAAAUUGGCUAGGUAUUGAAUUUGAGUCCGUAUCAGUUAUCAUGGAUGUUGAACACACACGCACACUAUACCAGUGAAAAUGGUUUAAGAUUUGAGAAUUAAUAAGGAAUUGUGGAUUGGUUUUGGUGAUUAAUAAUGUAGAGUUUGUUUGUUUUCUCUGAGGCCAGUGAGAUAAUUUUGAUUAUGUGAUAUUGUUGGACUCGUCAUUAUGUGGAUUAUAUACAUUCCAUCUCAUUGCAUUGCAUUGCAUAGUAUGUAGUUAGUUUUGUGUUCGAGGACUAGCACGAUUUAAGUUUGGGAGAUUUUGAUAAGUGGAUUUCAUAUACACGUAUCGUUGUCCGUUUCAAACAUAAUCAUUGUUAUUUUCUUGUUUUUAUGUUCAUUUUUACUCGUUUUGUGUUCUUGUAUGUGUAGGGUGGAUUGUUGUGGUGAUUAGCGAAGAAUUGAAGUCAUUUGGAGCAUUUAUGGAAGCAAUCAGGAAGUUAGCAGCAUUGUUUAGCAGAAUGGACCCCCACCGGAGCGGGCCCUUCUUGCCUAUGUACCCCCCGCCGGGGCGGGGGGUCUUCAAUAUCAACUAACAGAAAGGAUGCCCGUCGAGGUGGGCCUGUUUUAGGCAUGUACCCCCGCCGGGGUGGGGGGUCUCGACUGCUGAACUCUCCUUUCUUGUUUUAAACUCUGCUGGGACAUGAACUCUAGCAUUUGGAUGGCAAGUGAACUCUAUUGGACAUGGAAUUAACUAGAAAAAUGUGUGUUGGAUGUUUAUUGCUGAAUUAACAACGAAUUAGAUAAGACACAAGGCAUAUUACAGAGAUUAAUUCCAGUUUUUCAUAGCAAGCUUUGGAGGGUGAUUUUGAAGAGAUUUUCGUGACGAUUGCAGAUUUAGGCUACGUGAAGGGUAUUUUUCACUAUUCUUCUUCUUAGUCUUUUAUUUGUAAUUGAAAGGAUGUUAUCUUUGAAUUAUUCAGUUAUUAUUUCAUUCAUGAUGAACUAAUUCACUUUUUAGGCUUAUGGUGGAUCCUUAAGUGAUACGAUGAUUUUGUAAACAUUGAUUUUCAGUUCAAUAAGCUAUUUUCCAGUUUAUCUAUAUUAAUUUGAGCUUGAAUUUAUGAAUUGCCUGAUCAACAAUUCUUCGUGGAUUUGUAUGGAAUCGAGAGAGGAUAUUCGAGUCUAGACUUAGUUAAUAUAGUGUGUUCAUGAAUUUUGUGAAUAGCAGAAUCUUGAUGAAUGUUAAGGUAGAGAUAUGCUUGACAUCGCAUGUAAUCGGAUAGGGAACUUAAUCUUAAACCUUCUUUAAUUAUAAUUCACAUAGAGAUAUAGUAAAUUAGUUGAUUAAGGUGUUUAACUUGUUUCUAUCUAAUUUGUGGAUUUAAGUUAAUACGGUAUUAGUGCAUCUAGAGGUGGCUAGUACUACAUUCAUGUUCUUGAUUAAUAAACUGGAAUAGUGAGUUGAAUUGCAAUAAAGGUGUAGAAAUCAGAGUGAAGCUUAGGGUGAAAUCAUAAGUCUAAUUCUCCAAUAAUUGUUUAAAAUUUCAGAUUUUAAUAUUUGUGAUUGUUUUGUGAUAGUUUAUUUAUUUCUUAAUUUAGAUUCUAUAAUUUUAAUCAUUGAAUUAAAUAGUUUAAUAAAAUUAGGAUUAAUAGGAAAUUGAUAAUUGUAAGGUUAAAUUUCUUGCUAAUUUGUCUCUGUGGGAACGAUACUCUACUUAUUACUAUAUUACUUGUUGACCACAUAUACUUGCGUGUUGUGCGUAUAUAGAUUUUACCCAACACAUGUCUUUUGUUCAACAUGUGUUGUCCCUUCAAGUAUUUCAAUGACUCAUUGUAAGACCCCAAUUUUUAUGAAUAAAGAUUGAUUUUUGUAGCGUCCCCCGAACCCGGGCCCAAAUCGCCGCGGAUUCGGUUUGCUAAUCUUUCUAUAACUUUUUGCGGAAGAUAUAAACAUAAAUUGUUUAUACAUUACAUUACACACUAUUCCCCCAGGUCGAGUAACCUUAACUUAUACACAUUUCAUAAACUAUUUAUUACAUAACAAUAUUUAUCACAAUACGCUAUUACAAACUAGCUGCACUUUAUAACCCAAGCUGAACUUGGCUUUAAUCGUUUCCUAUAUCCGAACGCAUUUGCCUUAUCUGCAAUGUUUUAUCAUGAUAUAACAAGGGUGAGCAUGAAAGUUGCCCAGCAAGUUUAAAUACAAUAAUAUAACGAUAUAUUAUGAUUGAAGAGUAUGAAUAAUAAGCUGGCUAUAAUUCAUCAAUAUAAUUGAGAACUAGCAGGAACAAACUUUUGACUGAACAAGUUUUAAACAUGAACAAACAUUUCUGAACCAACUGGUAAUGAAGGUGAUCAGCCUUUCAUACCUGACUUAUACAUGCAAGAUGUACAGAGUACAAUUUUCAUGGCAAUCAGCAAUGAUUAACCAUAAGCUUGAAUAAAACACUCUUAUUAGAGUUAAGUAAGAACAAACUUGCCUGAACCGUUGAUUACCGCAACGCAAUUUAUAACGCUUUACCCGAAGACCUAAUAUUAAUAAUAUAGAUCUCCAAUAUUAGAAUAAUAUCAUCACAGUAUAAUACUGUUAUAUUUAAAUACACAGAAUAACCUAAACACAUAACACAUAACCCUAUAAGUCUAUACAGCACAUAAGACUUAGCAUCAGGUCAAACUAUUUCAGUCUGACUUAAAACUGACACCAUUCUAUCAUCCCGACGGUCUAGUCGGACAAUACUCGAGUUUAAGUUCAAUUAAACUCUUCCUGAACACUUAACAAUUAUCACAGAUAAUUUCUUAUCAGUCAAAACAUUUUUCCUAGGCUCGUAAUAAUUUUCGGAUAAUUAUUACCAUUUAUCAUGAUUUUCCAAUCAUUAAUAUCGUAUUUAAAUGAAUUAAAUACCACAUAAUUCCUUAAUCAUUAAUAUUCAUUUAAUAUAAAAUAUUAAUGAAAAUCCUUACAUAAUAUUAUAAUGUAAUUAUAAUAUUUCAAAAUAUUUUUAAUACCUUAAAAUCAUAAUUAUUUGAUUUUUAAACACUUAAAUCCAUUAUCCGAUAAUUAAUAUUAAUAUUAAAAUAUUAAUAUUUUCAUGCCAAAAUAUCAAAAGUUAUAUUUUAUAACUUAAAAUAUUUUUAUAACACUUAAAUCAUUUUUAUAUGAUUUUUAAAACAUUAAUUCUAUUUUUCCUUAAUUUAUUUAAUAUAUUUAUUAAAUAAACUAAUUACCAUUAAUAAUAAAUUAUUAAUGAAAUUUAUCACAAAAUAUUAAAAGUCAUCAAAAAUAACUUAAAAUAUUUUCUUUUACCAUAAUAUUAUUUUUCAUGAUUUUUCAUGAAUUAAAACCAUUUUUAAAUAAUUUAUUUAAUAUUAUAAUUAAAUAAAUAAAUACCUUUUAUAUUCCCAAAAAUAUUAAAUAUUUUUGAAAUAUAUCCAAAAUAAUUAAAAACUAUUUUUCAAGCUUUAAAAUAAUUUUUCAUAAUUUAUUAUGUAUUUUUAAUAAUUUAAAAUCAUUUAUUUCAAUUUAUUUAUUAAAAUAAUUAAUUUUCUAAUUUAUCUGUCGCUAAAGGUAGCUUAGGUGACAAAUCUGUCGCUAAAUGUGUUCUUGAUGUGUUCUUCAGCAUUUCCAGAAAUUCAUGUCAGUGUUCGAGUGGGUAGGUUUGACCCGAAUUUGAUCUAUGAUCUAAAUGUUUUCUAGACUUGUAAAAACUUUGAUGUUGUAGUACUAAUGUAGUACUACAAGUAUAUACCAAUUCCAUGACCAAACAACAACAUAACAACGAGAUCUAAGCUUCCAAAAAUGAUGUCAGACCUGUUCUUCAAAUUCUGGGAAUUCCAGAUUUGAAGAACAGCCUUAGGUGCCUUUUAUUGAUCCUUGUAACUUGCAUUCUAGGCUUUGGUUUUGUGAUCUAAAGGUUCAGUCUUGUAGCAGAGAUGUCAGUGUACAAGGUUGUAACAACCGAUCAUCAUAAAAACAACAAUAAGUUAAGAUUUGAGCCGGUCAAACUGGUAGGCAGAAAAAUCCCGUUGAAGAUCUGGGUUACCCAGAAUCUUCUUCCGGUCGUGAUGGUCAACGAUGGUUUGACUGUUCAUUACUUUGAUUCUAUGAAAGAUCUGAGUGAUAUAAUAACAUGAUUGUGUAGUCCUUAAACAUACCUACAAUAUCUAACCAACACAAUGGCCAAAACAACAAACACCAACAAGAUCAAGGGCUUUGAACAUCUUGUCAGACCUCCUGGGAAAAUUCUGGGUUACCCAGAAUUCAUUUCCCGUGAACGGUCAACGGUCUUUGACCGUUUAUAUCUUGCGAUCUAUAAUAGAUCUGGGUCUGAUUCUUUUUGCACCUUCAAGAACACAUAUCAGGCUACAUGUUACAAGUUUUAAACAUCAAAAACACUUAACACACACGGAUCUAUAAGAUCUGACAUUUGACUGAAAAACACAAUUUUCCAGAUUUCCAGAUUUUGAAAAACUCUAAAUUCGUGCACUUUGAUGUUAUGGAUCAUGGAUUUAUCAACCCAGAUCAUCAAUUGACACCUUAUUACAUAUCUUUGAACAAUCAAUUACAACAUUUAACAAGGAAUUGAAGGAUUUCAAAAUUAGGGUUUUAUACCUCUUUAUGCUUUGAUUUUAAUCUUGGCUCUCCAAUCUGUUUAUGGAUGAUCAUGGAGCUGUUUCUAGGACUGAUCCACUACUGAUUUUCGUGGGUUUGUGAAAGAGAGAGAGUUGGUGAGAGCAAAAUACAAAAUGGCUAAGUUUUUUGAACUUUCUCUCUCUAAAUCUUAUAUAUAAUGCUUUGAUUCAUGCAUGUUGCUUCAAUUUCGGCUGAGUUGGGCUGAUUUGCUGAGAUUUCAAGUUGCAAAGUCAAAAUAUUUGGUAACCUACUAAAGUUAUAGCAAUUUUUGCAAGUUACAUAAUAAAAUACACUAAAAGGGCAUUUUGGUCAUUAUCUAAUUAUUUUUAAUGGUAUUCUUGGAAUUGGCCAAACCCUUAGGGUUUAGGGUUUGUUAGGGUUUAGGGUUUGGAGCAUUUAGGGUUUAAGUUUUAACCCUUAACUUCCAAAUUAGUUUCUAACAUUUUCCGAGUUUCGGUUUUUCAAAAAUAAAAAUUUAAUAUUUCUAAAUUAUAAUUAGAAUUUUCUAAUUAUAUUACAAUUUCUUAAUUACACUUUAAAUCUUACUAACUAGGAUUAAUAUUUCCUAAUUAAAAUUGCUAAUUACGCAAGUAGGGUCAAAAUGGUCAUUAGGGUUUUCAACCCACAAUUUAGGGUUUCUAAAUAGAAAAUAAUUUUCUAAUAUAGAAAUUAAAUAUUCGUAAUUAGAUUAGGGUUUUCUAAUUACUUAACAUUAAAUUAGAAUUAAUAUAUCCUAAUUAACAUUAAAAUAUUCAAUUAACACUUUCAUUUUUCCUAAUUAUAAAUUAGGGUUUCAAAUCCAUCAUUAGGGUUCCUGACGGAAAAGUUUAAGUUCGAUAAUUUGAAAUUAGGGUUUGCUAAUUAAUUAAGCGUUACCCUAAUUAAUAUUAUAAUAAUAGCAGUAGAGCAUUAUAAUUCUCCAUUAAUUUCCCAGAUUAGGGCUUCAAUUUAUCAGAAUCUGAAACUAGGGUUUUCAGAUCAAGUAUUAGGGUUUCAGAUUUGGAAUUAGGGUUUUGUAAUCAAUUUGUUAAGAUUAACCCUAAUUAAUCUUAUAAUUAUUUACACUUAUGCCAUUAAGUUCCCGAUUUAGGGUUUCAUGCACCGAAUUAGGGUUUCGGAUUCCCGGAACUGAAACUAGGGUUUCUAGAACCGAUUUCUAGGGUUUCUUAUCAGACGUUAGGAUUUUCUAACUGAACUUUGUUGUUCUUAAUAUAUUCUUAGGGUUUGUUACAGAUAUAAUUUAUCUGAUCAACCCUUGACCCUUAACCACAUUCUGUACACAGAACAUAACCAUAUUCACAGAACUUAAUCACAUAAACACUUAAUCCUGAAUAAUUCACCUAAAUCCUUCACAGAAUUUUGAAACCCUCAAAAUUCCAUCCUAAUAACAUCAAACGCAUACACUUAUUUUCUGUCUAGGUCUAUUAUUUGACCUUAAAUCAAUCAUUUAAGAUUUUAAUAAAUUGUCCAAAUUCUCGGGUUAUCACAAUUUUUCUCAAAAUAUAUUUUUGAAUAUAUAGUGUGGAUUUGUAUAAUGUUAUACUUGUGGGUAAUAUUUACAAAUUUUGCAAAGUAAGCAAGUUGUUAAAAAAUAUUCGAUUGGUCGGGGAAUAUUCGUUUUAACAGGGAAUAUUCAUACGAUGGAAAAAUCAUUAGUGGACCCCACAAAGGAAGUAUUGUCGGAGUUAGAAAACGACAUAAAUGUCUUUUUAUAAAAAUAACGGUGAAAGUUUUACUGUAAAACUGUUUAAAUACCCGGUGGUAAAAGUACAGUAAUACGCGUGGUUGCAUAGUAGCACACAGUAUUGAUUAUUGAUGCUUACGUGAGAAGUCACUCAGUUAUACUCAAUUAUUGCUACAGUAAUUGCUGCAUAAUAUCUCUCAUAUUAUUGAUUCAAUUAUUGUCACAGUAUCAUCUGCAUAAUAUUUUAUAUUUUUAAAUCAAUAAUUGAGAUGACAAAGUUAUUCAUAUUAUUAUUUACAAUAUUGACGAUGUCUAGAAAGUUCUGUCGAGGAAAGGGGUUUGGUCACCUAAUUGCGCUUCAAUAGGGAGAAAUCCUUAUCGAAAAACCCCCUCUUUCUUGGGAAUAAUCUGGUUGUUAAAUACUGUGAGUUAUAAUAUUAAUGAUGAAUAAAUUCGUGUUGAUUAAAGAUGAAAUUGAUAUUUCCAUUGUGUUGGGAUUAUUAGUAUUAGUGGAAAUCGACAUUUAUUUUGAUAAUAUUUGAUUUUUGGAGGUUAAAUUGACUAAUCGGACAAUUAAUCGGAUAAAUGAGCAAUGCUAUUAGUUCACAUGCAUAUAACUAUUUGUUCACAUGAAUGGAACUAUUGAUUCACAUGCAUGUACAAUUAGGGGAGAUGGUGCAAGUUUGAUAAUACUUGUAGGACUAAAUUAAAAAUAGAGGAAAAGAUGAAGGUACUAUACUGUAAUAAUUCGAGCUCCAAAACGUGCAAUUAUCGAAACUAUAUUUUCCUAUAAAUAGAAGUUCAUUCUUCUUUCAUUCUCACCAAUUCACUAAGACUCACAAGAACAAUUAUAGAGAGAAGCUAUAGAGAGAAAGAAGAAGAGUAUUCUGCUACUUCACUAUUCCAGUAUCCAGUCUUCUUCUAAGGUAAGGGGUAUUAUUUAUUUCAUAUUCGCUUACGAUAUUAUUUUUCGUAUUCGUAAAGAAUUUUAUUUUCUUUCAAUAUUUGUAAGAAAUAAUAUUUUCUUCCAUACUCUGUAGUAUGUAAGUAAUAUUAUUUCGUUUUGUAUUCCUACUUCUACACUCAAUUUGUUAAAGUAUUGCUUCUAUACUUCGUGAAAUUAGUAGAAUAUCCUUGAAAUUUGCGCUUCAUCUAGUAUCAUUUCACAAGGAUAUUUUUCUAAACAUUCUUGAUAAUUUUUAAUCUUUUCAUGCCGAAGUAUUGUUCACGGGGUACUAUUCACAAAAUACUAUUCACAGGGUACUAUUCAUGAAGUACUAUUCACGGGGUACUAUUCACAAAGUACUAUUCCUGAAGUACUAUUCACGAAGUACUACUCACGGAGUACUAUUCACUCGGGUACUAUUCAUCCGGGGUACUAUUCAUGACAAAAAUCUAUUUCUUCUCUGUCCAAAUCAUUUUUGAUAUAAUAUUAUUCUUGAAUUUUACUCCACAAAGCAGUAUCAUGUUGACAAUUUGGACAUUAUUGAAUUCUGGAUAAAUUAAAUUAUAAAUCUUUAAAAAAUUAUCCUUUGCUUUCUUUUAACUGAAUUCUUAUAUCAUUGUCAUCAUCCUUAUGCUUAUAUUUUGAUGAAAGUCAUAUUUGGCUUACGUGUAUAGAUGGACUGGUGAUUGGUAUGAUUAAGACCAGGGAUCAUUUGGUAUAAUCAUGACCUGUAAUGUUACAAAUGAUAAAAGUCUGUUAGCCCAUAGUGCAUUGAUGGACAUUUGUUGGUAUGAUCAUGACCAUUGGUGAAAACAUGAAUAUCCUUGGCCCGUAGUGCAUGGAUAAUUCAGUGAUGUGGAUUAUUUAUUAAGCUGAGUCUCAGCAAUAAAAUUGAUGAUAAACUUUUUAAAUCAUAGAAGAUUGUAGAUAUCAUGCUCUACUUGACUCUUCUAAUGGAUUGCUUGUUCUGCUGCUGUUAAACUUGAUGUUUAUUGUAUUUUAUCAGUUUAACAUUGUUGAAGGCUAACUAUAAUUUAUUCUGCAUUAUCUUAGUCAUAAUAUUUCUUACUGGGUUAGUUAAGCUCACCCUUUUGCUUUCAUUGUUCUCUUCAGGAAAUGAGAACGUAAUCGAGACUAGUCGGGGAACGGAGUGAUGGUCUGAGAUGGUUUUUUUAGUAGUCC
RNAcentral lists this long non-coding RNA (33430 nucleotides) under Panax ginseng (ginseng). RNAcentral describes it as "long non-coding RNA (PGIN_LNC003749)". Lineage: Eukaryota; Viridiplantae; Streptophyta; Magnoliopsida; Apiales; Araliaceae. The record is from RNAcentral.